Long non-coding RNA from Acinonyx jubatus (cheetah), 4106 nucleotides. RefSeq lists it as uncharacterized. The record is from RefSeq and is a predicted model, not a curated record. The transcript has 3 exons. NCBI's taxonomy places the organism in Eukaryota, Metazoa, Chordata, Mammalia, Carnivora, Felidae.
UCCAGGCUCUGAGCUGUCAGCACAGAGCCCAAUGCAGGGUUCAAACUCAUCUACUGGGAGAUCACGACCUGAGCCAAAGUCGGGCGCCUAACCGACUGAGCCAUCCAGGCGCCCCUGUUGAGGAGGACUUUUUAAUCAUGAACUGGGGAAAUAUCGAUGGCAUACUGUGAAGCAGAAUCAUUGUCCUUUGAACUCAGUGCAAUUUCUCACUGUGGUUUUCUCAAAAUGAAAAUAAAGCUGGUAUCUAAUGUGUUUUCACAUCACAAGUGCACAGUUAAUCUUGUAUAUGGAUAAGACACCUUUGCUAAAUGCUAGAAAAAACUGAUAGAACUAGCUUUUGGUGUUCUUGCAAUAUCUUUACUACCUUCCCUUUAUUUAAAGGACUUUGGAUCUAUAAUUUUACUCAAAUGUGGGAAUUGAGUGGGGAUUAAAACUCUAUUUUGGUGGUUUCAAUCAGGACUCUAUGCAUGAGCUAGAAUACUUUUUAAUAUUGGAGAUAUAAUAGUACCUUAAUGAGAGGACAUUAAUUAUGAUACUUGGAAAUCCAUGGUCGGUUUAUACCUACAAUAAUCUAUGAGUCCUAUAAUUUUGAUGAUUCUAAUGGCCCUAUUGUUCAUUAGGGCCACAACAGACCUUUGCCUCUUGUAAAUAAAUCCCAUGUCUUUGGUUUCUGACAACAGGAAUACUGCCAAUCCCAGUGUUUUGGGAGAGACCUGUGUUACUUUGGCAUCGCUUACCUGUAAUCUCUUUGGAUAAAAGUUAUCUAAUCUCUGGAUAAAAGGAAUGGUCUGGGAGAAUCAUAGUGAAUGGUUAAUCAGGUCACAAUCUGGACAGACAUUCUAACAUUCCAUAUUCCAAAGUUCUUAUAUCCUUCUUACCUUAAAUACAAUGAAUUUCUGUCAUUGUACUCCUCAUGGGUUUCCAUUGGGACUAAUUUUUAGACAACAGGCUUAUUAAACAACUAGAAAUAAGUCCAACUGAUCAAAGUAACCAGAGGUUUUGUAAGGUACAUGGAGACGUAAUCAAUACGGAUCUAACACCCACUCAUAAUGCUUUGGAAUUGAACCGAAAGAUCAUUUUGAAGGAAAAUAAUACAUAAGGGGUACUGCUCUUACUGCUAAUGUCAAACCCCUUUCCAGGGAAAGAAAGAGAAAACUAAGAAAACAAAUUUGUCUCUGAAGAGAUGGAAAUGAUAGGUACAUUAGACCAUUAAAGCCUUCCUGUUGUCUCUGCCUUACUCAUUUACCAAGGCACUGCUUUUGUGCAUCUGUUGUCAUCCAUUAUUUAUGCGUCUUAUUCAUGCCGCUGCAAACAGUGCCAGUGGUAUGCAUUCUUUGUUACCGUGUUUUUUCAGACAGUGUAAAUAAAUAAGCAGAAAUUCAGACCAUCUAUAAUGUUACGACUCUCCUUCCUUCUGUUCAUUUAUGUUGAUGCUUCGCAUGUUGCACACCUUCUAAUAUCCCGUUCCUGUUUUUCAUUAUUUAAUUCAUGCUACCUCAAGCCUAUUAAUAAAUAAGUAUCUUGAUGUCUUGUUCUGCCUUUCUGAAAUUCUCAAGGGAGCAUACAGAUUAAACCUCUAUUGGAAUUUUUCCCACAUUACUAGUUUGGUACAAGUGAAUUACAUAUGUAAACACAAACAUUGAUGUUCAUAUAUUUAUAAUUGAUGCAUAUUAAUAUAUAAGCAAUAUAAGAAAGUGAUUAACCUGUCAGAUGCCAGAAGACAAAGUGAACAUAUCACAUUUCUGCUGUAAGUCAAUCUGGGUAUAAUCUUGACCCACAUGUUCAUGCAGUAUUGAAAUUGCCAAAUGGAAUCUCAUAAUCAUCAUUUGUGCUUCCCAUUUUCCGGAUGAUGGAAGUGGUUCCCAUAGGGAUGCGUCGGUUGAUCUGACUUAGUACCAGUGAAAAAAUGGCCAGUGUGCACCAUUCGGUGUCAUGAUCCAAAUUAAGUUCAAAGAGAGGAUCUGGUAUUCAGGAUGUGGGUUGAUUUGCCUCUACUUCUUACAACCCAGAAAACACAUAGCAUUUCUAUCCCUUCGUUAACUGCAUUCCCUCUUUAUACCCUCUUCACGUUAUUUUGUCCCUGGCACACUCGUUCUGUAGCAUGACUGUUUCUUCUUUUUCCCUGCCCCCAUUUCAAAGAAGGAUUUCAGAUGAGAACUGAAUCAUAGUUUAAUUUUAAUCUUGUUCCCCUUGCCCAAAGAGACAUACCUAGAAAAAUGUUUCCAUGGCCAAUGCCAAAGAAAUUAUUGCCUAUGUUUUCUUCUAAGAGUUUUAUGGUUUCAGUUCUCACAUUUAGGUCUCUCAUGCAUUUUGAGUUUAUUUUUGUGUGUGGUGUAAGAAAGUGGUCCAGGUUCAUUCUUUUGUGUGUGGCUGUCCAGUUUUCCCAGCCUCAUUUGUUGAAGAGACUGUCUUUUCCCAAUUGCAUAUUCUUGCCUCCUUUGUGGUACACUAGUUGAGCUUAUAAGUAUGGGUUUAUUUCUGAGAUGUGAUAAACACUUUAAAUAUAGUGCUAAUUAAUAGUGUGGGUCCUAAAUUAAAAAGGCUGAGAAACAUCGUACAGGAAGCAGAUCACUUUCCUGGAAAGACAGUUAACUUAUAAUUGCUUAAAGUGUAAAAUUUUCAAUAACGUUCUGCAAAUACUACCACCUUUGACUCUUACACCAAUCCUGAAGCUUUCCUAGUAGAUGAUGUGAUCUCUGGUUCACUACAAAAAAAUGUGACUUAAGGGUGCCUGAGUGGCUCAGGCAGUUAAGCAUCCAACUUCGGCUCGGGUCAUGAUCUCAUAGCUUGUGGGUUUGAGCCCCGCAUCAGGCUCUGUGCUGACAGCUCAGAGCCCGGAGCUGCUUUGGAUUCUGUGUCUCCAUUCCUCUCUGCCCAUCUCCCACUCAAGCUCUCUCUAUCUCUCUCUAUCUCUCUCUCUUAAAAAUAAAAUAAAUGUUAAAAAUUUGUUUAAAAUGUGACUUAGAUUAUUUUCCUUUUCUGCAGUACCUAAAAGGAGGGUAGGAGGGCAUGGUAUCUCAGGACACAGAGGUACCAUUCUGAACUCCAAUUUCUAAUCUGGAGUUGCAUCUGGAAAAAUCAGGUGAGGGAAUUAAAUCCUACCCUGAGAAUAUUCCCCUUGUCAGGUAUCGUCUUAGGUAUUUUUGAGAGUGUUUUGUUUUUGUUUUUUGUUUUUGAGCAGUCAUGAAAUUAUCAGACUCACAUGAAAACAUUUCAGAAAUUGAGAAGAUUUUGAAAACGUAGAGAAUAGAAUCCCGCUAAGGAAAUGAAAUAUCCUGUAUGUAACACUCCACACUAAGUACAAAAGAUAAACUCUGGUUAAUAUAGGUGGGUUAUAUAUAGAUCAAUACCAGCCUUUGUAAGAAGGAUAUAAGUCUUAUUUGGCUGAAGGCUUAAUAUCAGACAACAGAGAGUGAGGGAGGACAAGAAUGCCAAUGUGAGUGAAGCCAGCCUGAUGAGGAAUAGAGCCAGUGAGGGAGACAAGAAUAUUCUCACUCUUCCAUGAACUUGACACAUCCCACCUACAAGCUGCAUUUGCGCUUCAAGAAGGACAUUCACGAACUAAUUUAAACACAUCCAGAGAAGAAGGAUGACGGUGGGCUAGGAGAUCAUCUCCUAUGAGGAUCAUUUGAGAGAACUGAGGAGACUCCUCUCUACCAGGAGGUAUUUGCUCAAUGGAUGAACGUAUAAAUGGAUUACAAAGCAGGCAGCUUGUUUUCAACACUUCAGUGAGAUUUCUAAAUGGACCACUCAUUUAAUAUAAGAAAAUGUCUAAAGGUAGGGGAAACACAGCCCUAGGUCUCAAUUUCUUCUUGACAUGGGCCCGAAAACAUGUUUUUAAUGGUUUUACCUGGGUUCUGCGCCACUGUGAAAUGUCACUGAACCCAGGUAGAGGGAGUUGGGGUUUUUGAUCUUGUGCUAAAUCAGGCUCACUAUGGGUGGCAGCUGGUCUAUAAUUGAGAAGAAGAGUCUGGCUGUUUGGGGUGUGGGCAUUCCCUGUAUAAUCACAGCAAUGUGCUGGCUUGGCAUAUCAUCAAAUAUUCUUUUUGAACCUGUCUGAUCACUUCCAGAGACAGAGGAGGUUCUAUUUUGUUAUGGUUUGUUGA